CCGACGAGCGAAGCGAGUACAAGAACCAGCUGCGAGAGCGAGCAGUCCAGUCUUGAGUUGACUACGGUGGUGAGUGCGUCCCUGGCUCUAAGUGAAAUUAAGCGGACUUUUCGCUCUUCGCGUCUUCCGAACUUUAAAAGAAACCCGUCAAGAUGAUCAACAAGAACGGCCCAUCCUGCGACAACAGAACUACCAACCUCAUCCAGAGGCAGCUGGUGGUACUCCUGCACGCGCAGCUCUGCCAACAGAGGGAACUCCGGCAGAUUAAUAACAACAGACCUGUCACAAUGUGCCAGCUGCCCUUCUGCAGCGAGAUGAAGGACGUCUUGAACCACCUGAGGACGUGCCAGGUCGGCACCUCUUGCCAGUACACGCACUGCAAGACCUCGAGAGGAAUCCUGUGCCACUGGAGAAGUUGCACAAGCUACGCGUGUCCCCUGUGCCAACCCAUCCGACAGGCCCGCGAGGAUUCGACAAUGCCAAACAUCGGGAAACUCUCGCUCUCUUGAGCGCUUUCAACAUCUUCAAUAGCUCUUAGGAAUUUGAAAAAAAAAAAUUCCUGUAUCCAAUAAGGUUUAGAGUGUAACAACGCAGAACUGUUUCAACGGAUUUGCAAUGCCUGAACAAAAUAAAACUCUACGUAGUGUGUUGGGUCUGACGAAGUUCCCAGGAAGGCUGGGAAGAUUGGCAAGUGUGUGGGUUGCAUGUCCGGUUCACUUUCGAUAUUCAAGACAAAACCUUCUAGCUAUGAAACUAGAUAACCACGCAGAUUUUUCAUAUGGCACAGAGGCAUCACCGCUCGUUUGAUUACAAACAACGUAUACUGUAUGCUGGCGUUUUGCAAUGAAGACUAUGCUGCGGUAGUAAACUGUAGGACAUACAAUAGGCGGUUGAUUUGUACGCUGUGCACUGGCGGCCUGUGCCAGGAUCGCCGACAUUUUGUGCUUGGCAUUAUUUUGUUUUCGCAUCGACUUCCGGUGCUCCUUUAUAAUUCCUGCUUGUUUGUAAGUGUUUAGAUGUAGUAUUUAUCCAAGAGUAGACUACAGGAAACCCUACAAUUCACGAGAUUCUUACGUUACCCGAAAGUAUCCACAGUAUUUAUUCUCACGUGAUAUGUAAGGCUGUUUGUUAUUCCGAGUAUGUUUGGUUUGGUCAUCUGUCUGUGACUCACAUCCCUCUGGUUCUCCAUAAUUUCUGUGAAAUGAACCAGUUUGCGUAGGUUUUGUUUUAUUUAAAUAAUAACCUGGCUAAAAACACUUCACGGUGCACUUUGUGUGCCAAAUGUUUUGACAAGUCGGAGUUUUACAUUACUGCUAUUAUUACAGUAAACAUGGAAGAGAUGACAAUGUUUACUAAUCGUAAUAAAAUCUAAACACGUUAGGACUUUGUGAAACUGAAUCAUUUCCUUAUUCCAUGUAAUAGUACCGAGUAUUACACGAGGCUCCGAUAGGCUGGCUGUAAGAUUCGACGGAAAGGUGAAAAAUCGGUGCAAGAGCUCUCAUGAAAAUGUGGGAAAUCAUUCCAAAACUCCAAAAAUCGUCAAUACUGGUUUUCAGAGUUGCAAAGCAUAUGAUGAGUUUCUUGUCGAUCUUUCUGUUUAAACUGGAAUGGAUUUAGCCUCGCAAUUCCGAGAGCUUUUGAACCGAUCCUGAAGUGAGUGACGAAAAUCUUGUAUAUACUACAGAUGCUGGUGAAGAUUUAAUGUACAGUUUCUUCUUGUUACGGUCGAUACUGAGAAAAAAAAACUGAUUGAGAAUUUUGGAAUAUUGAUACCUAUGUAAAUUCCCUGAAUAAUUCCUAAUGUUCUUUUGAAGACAAACUUGUACAUAGCUCUCAUAAGAAUCAGGAUUACCCAUGAAUAUCCAUUUUCAAGCAGUUUUUUUUUUUGACACGAAUGUAAAUAAAUGAUAAUGUACU
Molecule: long non-coding RNA, 1917 nt
Organism: Macrobrachium nipponense
Lineage: Eukaryota; Metazoa; Arthropoda; Malacostraca; Decapoda; Palaemonidae
Exons: 3
Source: RefSeq, a predicted model, not a curated record